Molecule: long non-coding RNA, 448 nt
Organism: Rosa chinensis
Lineage: Eukaryota; Viridiplantae; Streptophyta; Magnoliopsida; Rosales; Rosaceae
Exons: 2
Source: RefSeq, a predicted model, not a curated record
AGAGAGAACCAUCCAGAGGAUCCGACUGGCGCUACUCCGUCCGGCCACAUCACAGCGGCGGACCCCGGCAUUCUCUCCGCCUCGCCAUCGUCGUCACGCCCAUGGCCUCUAAUUGUCCAUGCAUUGAACGAAGAAGGAGAAUCGAAGACCCGAAGCUCCGAGUCUCCUCCGGCGAGUUUCAACUAAUUCCGGCGACUCCGAUCACCGAUUAAGUUGCAUGUGGCUAACAAUUUGAAAAGCUUUCUGGUUGUUGGCAUCACACUCACCAGUUCAUCUUCGGCAGUGACAUGGGAAAUUGGGUUUUCAUCAUCAGGCUUGUCCUGGGAACUGAGUUGGGUUGAUUAAAGUUGAUUUCCGAUUUCGAAGGUAUAAUCUCGAACUAGAAUCACGUUUUGUUCUUGUGUUAGUGAUUGGAAGUUAUGGAACUGAGUGGUUUGAUAUGGUGAAA